Molecule: ribosomal RNA, 253 nt
Filed under: uncultured bacterium
Lineage: Bacteria
Description: partial 16S ribosomal RNA
Rfam family: Bacterial small subunit ribosomal RNA
Source: RNAcentral
UACGUAGGGUGCGAGCGUUGUCCGGAAUUACUGGGCGUAAAGAGCUCGUAGGUGGUUUGUCGCGUUGUUCGUGAAAACCUGAGGCUUAACCUUGGGCAUGCGGGCGAUACGGGCAGACUGGAGUACUGCAGGGGAGACUGGAAUUCCUGGUGUAGCGGUGGAAUGCGCAGAUAUCGGGAGGAACACCCGUAGCGAAGGCGGUUCUCUGGGCCAAUACUGACGCUGAGGAGCGAAAGCGUGGGGAGCAAACAGG